RNAcentral lists this ribosomal RNA (322 nucleotides) under uncultured eukaryote. RNAcentral describes it as "partial 18S ribosomal RNA". It matches the Rfam family "Eukaryotic small subunit ribosomal RNA", at positions 1470 to 1796 of the family's 1831-position model. The record is from RNAcentral.
CCCUUAGAUGUUCUGGGCCGCACGCGUGCUACACUGAGUGGAUCAGCGGGUCAGGUUGCGCGAAAGUGUUUCCUAAUCUUGAAAUCCGCUCGUGAUGGGGAUUGACGGUUGCAAUUUUCCGUCAUGAACGAGGAAUACCUUGUAAGCGCGGGUCAUCAUCCCGCGCUGAAUACGUCCCCGCCCUUUGUACACACCGCCCGUCGCUCCUACCGAUUGAGUGGUCCGGUGAGGCUUUGGGAUCUGAGCGGAAAGAGUGUUUCGCUGUUUCUGCUCGGAAAACUCAGUCGAACCUUAUCAUUUAGAGGAAGGAGAAGUCGUAACA